AUUGAACGCUGGCGGCGUGCCUAACACAUGCAAGUCGAGCGGUAACAGGUGUAGCAAUACAUGCUGACGAGCGGCGGACGGGUGAGUAACGCUUGGGAAUCUGCCUGUUAGUGGGGGACAACCCGGGGAAACUCGGGCUAAUACCGCAUACGCACUACGGUGGAAAGCCGGGGACCGCAAGGCCUGGCGCUAACAGAUGAGCCCAAGUCGGAUUAGCUAGUUGGUAGGUAACGGCCACCAAGGCGACGAUCCGUAACUGGUCUGAGAGGACGACCAGUCACACCGGAACUGAGACACGGUCCGGACUCCUACGGGAGGCAGCAGUGGGGAAUAUUGGACAAUGGGCGAAAGCCUGAUCCAGCGAUGCCGCGUGUGUGAAGAAGGCCUGCGGGUUGUAAAGCAC
Molecule: ribosomal RNA, 403 nt
Filed under: uncultured bacterium
Lineage: Bacteria
Description: bacterial SSU rRNA
Rfam family: Bacterial small subunit ribosomal RNA
Source: RNAcentral